GCACAAGCGGUGGAGCAUGUGGUUUAAUUCGACGCAACGCGCAGAACCUUACCAGCCCUUGACAUGUCCAGGACCGGCACCAGAGAUGGAGCCUUCUCUUCGGAGCCUGGAGCACAGGUGCUGCAUGGCUGUCGUCAGCUCGUGUCGUGAGAUGUUGGGUUAAGUCCCGCAACGAGCGCAACCCCCGUCUUUAGUUGCUACCAUUUAGUUGAGCACUCUAAAGAGACUGCCGGUGAUAAGCCGCGAGGAAGGUGGGGAUGACGUCAAGUCCUCAUGGCCCUUACGGGCUGGGCUACACACGUGCUACAAUGGCGGUGACAAUGGGAUGCUAAGGGGCGACCCCUCGCAAAUCUCAAGAAGCCGUCUCAGUUCGGAUUGGGCUCUGCAACUCGAGCCCAUGAAGUUGGAAUCGCUAGUAAUCGUGGAUCAGCAUGCCACGCUGAAUACGUUCCCGGGC
Molecule: ribosomal RNA, 457 nt
Filed under: uncultured Alphaproteobacteria bacterium
Lineage: Bacteria; Pseudomonadati; Pseudomonadota; Alphaproteobacteria
Description: bacterial SSU rRNA
Rfam family: Bacterial small subunit ribosomal RNA
Source: RNAcentral